RNAcentral lists this transfer RNA (87 nucleotides) under Rhodospirillales bacterium. RNAcentral describes it as "tRNA-Leu". It matches the Rfam family "tRNA". Rfam says of the family: Transfer RNA (tRNA) molecules are approximately 80 nucleotides in length. Their secondary structure includes four short double-helical elements and three loops (D, anti-codon, and T loops). Lineage: Bacteria; Pseudomonadati; Pseudomonadota; Alphaproteobacteria; Rhodospirillales. The record is from RNAcentral.
GCCCGCUUGGCGGAAUUGGUAGACGCAACGGACUUAAAAUCCGUUGUCCGUAAGGACGUGCCGGUUCGAGUCCGGCAGCGGGCACCA